GUAACAAGGUUUCCGUAGGUGAACCUGCGGAAGGAUCAUUACCGAGUGAGGGCCCUCUGGGUCCAACCUCCCACCCGUGUUUAUCGUACCUUGUUGCUUCGGCGGGCCCGCCGCAAGGCCGCCGGGGGGCAUCUGCCCUCUGGCCCGCGCCCGCCGAAGACACCAUUGAACGCUGUCUGAAGAUUGCAGUCUGAGCAAUUAGUUAAAUAACUUAAAACUUUCAACAACGGAUCUCUUGGUUCCGGCAUCGAUGAAGAACGCAGCGAAAUGCGAUACGUAAUGUGAAUUGCAGAAUUCAGUGAAUCAUCGAGUCUUUGAACGCACAUUGCGCCCCCUGGUAUUCCGGGGGGCAUGCCUGUCCGAGCGUCAUUGCUGCCCUCAAGCACGGCUUGUGUGUUGGGCUCCGUCCUCCUCCCGGGGGACGGGCCCGAAAGGCAGCGGCGGCACCGCGUCCGGUCCUCGAGCGUAUGGGGCUUCGUCACCCGCUCUGUAGGCCCGGCCGGCGCUUGCCGACACAUCAAUCUUUUUUCCAGGUUGACCUCGGAUCAGGUAGGGAUACCCGCUGAACUUAAGCAUAUCA
Molecule: unclassified non-coding RNA, 580 nt
Filed under: Penicillium citreonigrum
Lineage: Eukaryota; Fungi; Ascomycota; Eurotiomycetes; Eurotiales; Aspergillaceae
Description: sequence contains 18S rRNA gene, ITS1, 5.8S rRNA gene, ITS2, 28S rRNA gene
Rfam family: 5.8S ribosomal RNA (bases 216-369)
Source: RNAcentral